AGGACGCGCGCCUCCCAGGUGCCAGAGUUCGUAUAUGACUCCAGUCCUGGCGCUGGAUGCUGCUGCUGUUCCAGCUUCCUAGGUGUGGAAACUGAAGGACCAAGAGAUUAAACAGGAAUCUCUGAGGACAAAUGGGAAUUCUCACUGAUUUCUAGGACUACCCUGGGGCAGGCACCCUGCACAGCAAUACACACUGAACAAUGUCGAGUUUCUGCUGAAUAGACUUCCUACGUUGCUCUGGAAUUCGAAGUUGGCCUAACUGAGGUCUCCAGUUACAGAAAACACUGGCUCUGUAUCCUGGGCUUUGAGAAAACUUAUCAGGCUGUCACACUUACCAUCCCUUCAGUCUGCUUGUCAGGUUCCUUAAGGACGCAUAUCUCAAAUGUAUGGCAUCUACCUCUACCUGGGUCACAACCAAGUGGGUUUCUACUAGAUCGGUGUUCCUUGACAGCCAACAAGGGAGCUGACACUGCCCUCCUAAGUUCUGAUCUUGCUCCUGUUCAACUGGAACUUGAUGGAUCCCAUGUGGUUUCCCCCAUCCUGACGCUGUGGCUCAGACACUCUCCCUAAGCUGGUCCUUCCCUCCAAAUCCUGCCUUAAACACACUCAGAAGGUAGAAAACACUUCAGCAGCAAAGUCCUCUUCCCAAGCCAACAGUUGUGUUCUUCCAAUCACAUGAUCUUACCUUUUCAAUAAAAGGCAAAACAAACCAAUUUCCAACAUAGCAUUACAGCCUUUAAAACCAUUCACUUCUCAUAGUGAUUCACAGAGAACAAGAGAUUAAAGUGCUGGAUUUUAAAUGUCUAAAGUUGCCUUCAGGGCUACAAAAAGCCCUGCCGUGUGUGUUUUUCCUUCAUGGUGUUGAGGGGAAGGAAAGAUAGGGAAGGGCAGUGGGGAGAAACCCUAAAAUUUUCAAUCAGAAACUGGAAAUUGUAAAAGUGGGAGGUGGAGUCCGCCGAGCACCCUGUCGCCC
This 973-nucleotide long non-coding RNA is filed under the name Homo sapiens (human). Its description in RNAcentral is "HSALNT0003197". The record is from RNAcentral. Lineage: Eukaryota; Metazoa; Chordata; Mammalia; Primates; Hominidae.